RNAcentral lists this ribosomal RNA (449 nucleotides) under uncultured bacterium. RNAcentral's name for it is "bacterial SSU rRNA". It matches the Rfam family "Bacterial small subunit ribosomal RNA", at positions 329 to 793 of the family's 1533-position model. The record is from RNAcentral.
ACCCAGACUCCUACGGGAGGCAGCAGUGGGGAAUAUUGCACAAUGGGGGAAACCCUGAUGCAGCGACGCCGCGUGAGUGAAGAAGUAAUUCGGUAUGUAAAGCCCUAUCAGCAGGGAAGAAGAAAUGACGGUACCUGAGUAAGAAGCACCGGCUAAAUACGUGCCAGCAGCCGCGGUAAUACGUAGGGGGCAAGCGUUAUCCGGAUUUACUGGGUGUAAAGGGGGCGCAGACGGCGAUGCAAGCCAGGAGUGAAAGCCCGCGGCCCAACCGCGGGACUGCAUUGGGAACUCCCGGGCUGGAGUGCCGGAGAGGUAGGCGGAAUUCCUAGUGUAGCGGUGAAAUGCGUAGAUAUUAGGAGGAACACCAGUGGCGAAGGCGGCCUACUGGACGGUGACUGACGCUGAGGCUCGAAAGCGUGGGGAGCAAACAGGAUUAGAUACCCUCGUAC